Molecule: ribosomal RNA, 253 nt
Filed under: uncultured bacterium
Lineage: Bacteria
Description: partial 16S ribosomal RNA
Rfam family: Bacterial small subunit ribosomal RNA
Source: RNAcentral
UACGAGGGGUGCAAGCGUUGCUCGGAAUCAUUGGGCGUAAAGGGUAGGUAGGUGGUCUGAUUUGUCAGGGGUGAAAGCCUUGGGCUUAACCUGAGAAGUGCCCCUGAAACGGUCAGACUGGAGUCUUGGAGAGGGUCGUGGAAUUCCCGGUGUAGCGGUGAAAUGCGUAGAGAUCGGGAGGAACACCAGAGGCGAAGGCGGCGACCUGGACAAGCACUGACACUCAACUACGAAAGCGUGGGGAGCAAACAGG